UCUCCGUUGGUGAAUCAGCGGAGGGAUCAUUACCGAGUUUACAACUCCCAAACCCAAUGUGAACGUUACCAAACUGUUGCCUCGGCGGGAUCUCUGCCCCGGGUGCGUCGCAGCCCCGGACCAAGGCGCCCGCCGGAGGACCAACCAAAAACUCUUUUGUAUACCCCCUCGCGGGUUUUUUAUAUCUGAGCCAUCUCGGCGCCUCUCGUAGGCGUUUCGAAAAUGAAUCAAAACUUUCAACAACGGAUCUCUUGGUUCUG
This 260-nucleotide unclassified non-coding RNA is filed under the name plant metagenome. RNAcentral's name for it is "partial contains small subunit ribosomal RNA, internal transcribed spacer 1, and 5.8S ribosomal RNA". The record is from RNAcentral.